GAUUAUCUACGGGUCCCUGGAAGCUAUUAACAUCCGCAGCAUCAGCUGGUCAAGGGCCUUAAGGCCGGUCUUCCUAAUUAACUUCCCUAAAAGUCGUCAGGGGUCUGAAAACAGCAGAGGGAUCACCUUACUUUGAAAACCUUCUGGAGAUAGCACUUGAGCUCUACGUGCUGGUCACUACAGCGAACAGCCCUGACAUCAUGUCCGCGCAUCCUCGAUCCAUGUUCAUGAACAUCUUUUACCAUAACAGAAUUUGCGCUAUUCAAAGCAGCUGUCUCCUGACUCUAGUAGGGCUGAGAGAGGACAAAGAGUGAUUUUCUGUUGAGUCCUGUUCACUGUAAAGGUUUUGAGAAAGAUAAAAGUUUACAGCACUAAUAGCCUAUCCUCUCUACUUAACACUAAAUUUAAAUGAAUUCUUUCAAAAUGGAAAGGAACAGAAGACAUCUCUUGAGAUACAAUUCUUAAUAUUUGAGCCCACUUUCGAUUCUGGAAUCUUCUUUGAGUCUUGAAAUUAAAGACAUAAGACAUCUUUGUAAAGGAAUCAUGACUGGUUCUCCUAAGCAUUGAUGCAGGUUUUUGGCUACAUCAAAUAGGAAAUAAAUGUAAACAUCAGUAAUUGCCCAAAAUGCCAAUUCUCCACACACGUGGAAACUACUUAGGAGAAAAACCUCAUGGUUUUUUCUAAUGUCUUCUUGUUGUGGAUUUACCUUAUGCAUAGGAGUAAAGUUAUUAAGUGGUACUGCACAGAGUAGCUAGUGCUCCAGCUCUAGAGAGUGGGCAGAGCCUCACUGCAAACGUCAGUCCACAUCUGCUCCAACAGUGACCUCAGAGAGGCAGGUUUUCCGUCGUCUUGUGAUGCAUAGGAUCAUCAGAUCAACUUGUUCUUGGUUGUUGCUCACUCUUGGGCCUGGGCCUGGUCCUGCUUAUGUUCUCUUGGGUCUUUCCUCAGACCCCUGUUAGCCUAGCCACCACCCCCUGAUGUCCCCUCCUGUAGGAAAUUAAGUUUCCUUUAGAGUGAGCACCUGUCACAACUUGCCCUUCCAUGAUUAUCACCGGGUACCUUUCAUGCAUUGUCCCUGCGUGGUUAGAAUACGACCUGGCCCCCAGCCAAGGCAGUUGGGUGUCCCACAGAGCCCUGAAUUUGCACUGCACAGCCCUCUUCCCAGCCAUGCUUCUUAUUCUCUUUGUAAUUCCUAGCAAGUCACUGUCCUUUCUAGGCCUCAAUUUUCUCACUGUGAAGGGAGAAAAGUGAAUUGGGAGAUCACUAAGGUCCUGCCACUGUGAAAAUUGGUGCCUCUGUAAGGUACUAAGAAUUUCAGAAGGUCAGGUGUGAAGCAAGCUGUUCAGCAUUAGGGAUGGUGAUGGCUCUGAGGCCUCAUCACACCCUAUGGGGGAGAGCGAAUGUUAGAGGAGGCUUUCCAGUACCUCCUGCACAUGGACUGUGCAUGUGGGAUAUUGCCCAAGGUCAGCCUUAUAUGCAUUGUAGAACUGAGAAGUGAAGCCAGCUGGGCUUCUGGGUUGGGUGGGGACUUGGACAACUUUCCCGUCUAGCUAAAGGAUUGUAAAUGCACCAAUCAGUGCUCUGUGUCUAGCUAAAGGUUUGUAAAUGCACCAAUCUGCACUCUGUUAAAACGGACCAAUCAGUACUCUGUAAAACGGAUCAAUCAGCACUCUGUAAAAUGGACCAAUCAGCAGGAUGUGGGUGGGGCCAAAUGAGGGAAUAAAAGCAGGCCACCUGAGCCAGGGGCAGC
RNAcentral lists this long non-coding RNA (1751 nucleotides) under Macaca mulatta (Rhesus monkey). RNAcentral describes it as "lncRNA (ENSMMUG00000058312.1)". Lineage: Eukaryota; Metazoa; Chordata; Mammalia; Primates; Cercopithecidae. The record is from RNAcentral.